This 200-nucleotide unclassified non-coding RNA is filed under the name soil metagenome. RNAcentral describes it as "partial contains internal transcribed spacer 2 and large subunit ribosomal RNA". The record is from RNAcentral.
CUUGCUGGCCUUUAUUGGCGAAGCUCGUUCGUAAAUGAUUAGCAUCUCAUAUUCGAAAAUCGGAUUGACUCAGUGUAAUAGACUAUUCGCUGAGGACGCUCUUUCGGGAGUGGCCGAGUUUUGUAAAGUAGAAGCUUCUAAUUCUAUUAGUCAACUUUAGAUUAGACCUCAGAUCAGGCAGGAUUACCCGCUGAACUUAA